RNAcentral lists this ribosomal RNA (848 nucleotides) under Penicillium sclerotiorum. RNAcentral's name for it is "eukaryotic LSU rRNA". It matches the Rfam family "Eukaryotic large subunit ribosomal RNA", at positions 66 to 933 of the family's 3401-position model. The record is from RNAcentral. Lineage: Eukaryota; Fungi; Ascomycota; Eurotiomycetes; Eurotiales; Aspergillaceae.
CAACAGGGAUUGCCCCAGUAACGGCGAGUGAAGCGGCAAGAGCUCAAAUUUGAAAGCUGGCUCCUUCGGGGUCCGCAUUGUAAUUUGCAGAGGAUGUUUCGGGAGUGGCCCCCAUCUAAGUGUCCUGGAACGGACCGUCAUAGAGGGUGAGAAUCCCGUAUGGGAUGGGGUGCCCACGCCCGUGUGAAACUCCUUCGACGAGUCGAGUUGUUUGGGAAUGCAGCUCUAAAUGGGUGGUAAAUUUCAUCUAAAGCUAAAUAUUGGCCGGAGACCGAUAGCGCACAAGUAGAGUGAUCGAAAGAUGAAAAGCACUUUGAAAAGAGAGUUAAAAAGCACGUGAAAUUGUUGAAAGGGAAGCGUUUGCGAUCAGACUCGCCGGCGGGGUUCAGCCUACCUUCGGGUAGGUGUACUUCCCCGCCGGCGGGCCAGCGUCGGUUUGGGCGGCCGGUCAAAGGCCCUAGGAAUGUAACGCCUCUCGGGGCGUCUUAUAGCCUAGGGUGUCAUGCGGCCUGCCCGGACCGAGGAACGCGCUUCGGCUCGGACGCUGGCAUAAUGGUCGUAAACGACCCGUCUUGAAACACGGACCAAGGAGUCUAACAUCUAUGCGAGUGUUCGGGUGUCAAACCCGUGCGCGAAGUGAAAGCGAACGGAGGUGGGAACCCUUUGGGUGCACCAUCGACCGAUCCUGAUGUCUUCGGAUGGAUUUGAGUAAGAGCAUAGCUGUUGGGACCCGAAAGAUGGUGAACUAUGCCUGAAUAGGGCGAAGCCAGAGGAAACUCUGGUGGAGGCUCGCAGCGGUUCUGACGUGCAAAUCGAUCGUCAAAUUUGGGUAUAGGGGCGAAAGACUA